This 229-nucleotide long non-coding RNA is filed under the name Elaeis guineensis (African oil palm). RNAcentral's name for it is "long non-coding RNA (EGUI_LNC042639)". Lineage: Eukaryota; Viridiplantae; Streptophyta; Magnoliopsida; Arecales; Arecaceae. The record is from RNAcentral.
CGGCAAGUCAUGACAACAGACACCACUACUCUCUGUAACAAACUCCACGUGGCCCCGAACGGCCCACUACCAGGCAAUUACGGAUGUCACUGUCAAUCAGUUACGCUCUCCCAUCUAUAAAAGAGAUCCCUCAGAUAUAUUCUCCUCUAAGCUGUAAGCAUUAUCUCCAAACUCUGCUAAAAUCCCAUUCGAGUACUCUAUUUCUGUUGAAGCAGAGUACUGACUUGAG